UACGUAGGGGGCAAGCGUUGUCCGGAAUCAUUGGGCGUAAAGAGCGCGUAGGCGGUCCGGUAAGUCCGCUCUGAAAGUCCGGGGCUCAACCCCGGGAGGCGGGCGGAUACUGUCGGGCUAGAGUCCGGAAGAGGCGAGUGGAAUUCCUGGUGUAGCGGUGAAAUGCGCAGAUAUCAGGAGGAACACCGAUGGCGAAGGCAGCUCGCUGGGACGGUACUGACGCUGAGGCGCGAAAGCGUGGGGAGCGAACAGG
Molecule: ribosomal RNA, 253 nt
Filed under: uncultured bacterium
Lineage: Bacteria
Description: partial 16S ribosomal RNA
Rfam family: Bacterial small subunit ribosomal RNA
Source: RNAcentral